Molecule: non-coding RNA, 632 nt
Organism: Anas platyrhynchos (mallard)
Lineage: Eukaryota; Metazoa; Chordata; Aves; Anseriformes; Anatidae
Source: RefSeq, a predicted model, not a curated record
UGCAAAACCUUCCUUGCUAUGGGUAACUCCUGUUGAGCUUCUAAGGAUGCUCCUGGAGGAGGAACGCUUUGACUCAGAAACCCACCAGGCUGUACAAGAUCCCAAGUGGACUCUAAGUGCUUCACUGGGAAGUCCCGAUCUUCCCAGCUACCACAGCUUUAGCUCACACUUGCACAUCAGUCUACAUGUGAGAGUCUGGGGGGCAGAAAGGGCUAAGGAGUGAAGCAGGGCUGCGUGUAGUGAAUAUUCGGAGAUGAAAUCUUGCAGCAGGAUUUGAAAUGGUGCAGCUUGCUUAGGCCUUGAAGAGAGAAGGCUUUUCUGCCUUGUGGUGUGGAAAAGGGAUGAGUGGUCACUAAAGAAGUUCCAGCAGUAAACAGUAAGGUUGGAGAAGACGUGACUGAGAUGCCUCUGCUCAGCCUGCCUGCUCAAUGCUGUUCUGAUAUUUCAGCUUCUUCAGGGAAAGAUUCAGCCUCUUAUCAAGUACAAUAUACCUAGUCUGUGGGUGUGUGUCCAAAUCCAGCAUUCCCCUAUCCUCUGUUGGGAAGAGAGCUGAUGGAGGAAAUCCAUUUUCCUGUGUUGUGUGAAAUACUCAGCGGUAAAAUAGAAAAGGCUCUGCUGGCCUCAGCUGCUAA